GUGCCCGCUUCAGCAGCACAGAGACUAAAGUUGGAACAGCCUAGCGAAGAUCAGCCGGCACCUGUGGAAGGACGACGUGCACAUUUGUGAAGCGGUCCAUAUUUUU
Molecule: small nuclear RNA, 106 nt
Organism: Myotis myotis
Lineage: Eukaryota; Metazoa; Chordata; Mammalia; Chiroptera; Vespertilionidae
Source: RefSeq, a predicted model, not a curated record